GAUGAACGCUGGCGGCGUGCCUAACACAUGCAAGUCGAACGGAGUUAAGACUUCGGUUUUAACUUAGUGGCGAACGGGUGAGUAACGCGUGAGGAACCUACCUUUCAGUGGGGGACAACAGUUGGAAACGACUGCUAAUACCGCAUAACACAUUCGAGGGGCAUCCCUUGAAUGUCAAAGAUUUAUUGCUGAAAGAUGGCCUCGCGUCUGAUUAGCUAGUUGGUGAGGUAACGGCUCACCAAGGCGACGAUCAGUAGCCGGCUUGAGAGAGUGAACGGCCACAUUGGGACUGAGACACGGCCCAAACUCCUACGGGAGGCAGCAGUGGGGGAUAUUGGACAAUGGGGGAAACCCUGAUCCAGCGACGCCGCGUGAGUGAAGAAGUAUUUCGGUAUGUAAAGCUCUAUCAGCAGGGAAGAAAAAUAACCAAAUUGACUGUACCUGACUAAGAAGCCCCGGCUAACUACGUG
RNAcentral lists this ribosomal RNA (470 nucleotides) under uncultured bacterium. RNAcentral describes it as "bacterial SSU rRNA". It matches the Rfam family "Bacterial small subunit ribosomal RNA", at positions 28 to 507 of the family's 1533-position model. The record is from RNAcentral.